This 249-nucleotide unclassified non-coding RNA is filed under the name Hevea brasiliensis (rubber tree). Lineage: Eukaryota; Viridiplantae; Streptophyta; Magnoliopsida; Malpighiales; Euphorbiaceae. The record is from RNAcentral.
GUUUUUGGUUGUUGGAUGUGAAGAAGGCAGAGACUUCCAAGGAGAGAGAGGGAUUGAGAGGCAGGAAUGUAGCUUUUGUAGGCGUAUGUUGAGUUCAAUUAUUGGAUUAUGAUUUCUAGUCUGUUUGUCUGAGGGGCUGCGCUGUGCCUUUUCAAUGGGAUUUUGCUUUGAAUGUACCUCUCACUCUCUCCUCUUUUCUCUUUUCUUUUGAAUUACAACUCAACAUGUGCAAUACACAAUGGUGGAAAU